UAGGGAAUCUUCCGCAAUGGACGAAAGUCUGACGGAGCAACGCCGCGUGAGCGAAGAAGGUCUUCGGAUCGUAAAGCUCUGUUGUUAGGGAAGAACAAGUACCGGAGUAACUGUCGGUACCUUGACGGUACCUAACCAGAAAGCCACGGCUAACUACGUGCCAGCAGCCGCGGUAAUACGUAGGUGGCAAGCGUUGUCCGGAAUCAUUGGGCGUAAAGCGCGCGCAGGCGGUCCUUUAAGUCUGAUGUGAAAUCUUGCGGCUCAACCGUAAGCGGUCAUUGGAAACUGGGGGACUUGAGUGCAGGAGAGGAAAGCGGAAUUCCAUGUGUAGCGGUGAAAUGCGUAGAGAUAUGGAGGAACACCAGUGGCGAAGGCGGCUUUCUGGCCUGUAACUGACGCUGAGGCGCGAAAGCGUGGGGAGCAAACA
Molecule: ribosomal RNA, 427 nt
Filed under: uncultured bacterium
Lineage: Bacteria
Also listed under: 2 other names
Description: partial 16S ribosomal RNA
Rfam family: Bacterial small subunit ribosomal RNA
Source: RNAcentral